UACGAAGGGGGCUAGCGUUGCUCGGAAUCACUGGGCGUAAAGCGCACGUAGGCGGCUUCUUAAGUCAGGGGUGAAAUCCUGGAGCUCAACUCCAGAACUGCCUUUGAUACUGAGGAGCUUGAGUCCGGGAGAGGUGAGUGGAACUGCGAGUGUAGAGGUGAAAUUCGUAGAUAUUCGCAAGAACACCAGUGGCGAAGGCGGCUCACUGGCCCGAUACUGACGCUGAGGCACGAAAGCCAGGGGAGCAAACGGG
RNAcentral lists this ribosomal RNA (253 nucleotides) under uncultured bacterium. RNAcentral describes it as "partial 16S ribosomal RNA". It matches the Rfam family "Bacterial small subunit ribosomal RNA", at positions 524 to 776 of the family's 1533-position model. The record is from RNAcentral.